RNAcentral lists this ribosomal RNA (496 nucleotides) under uncultured bacterium. RNAcentral's name for it is "partial 16S ribosomal RNA". It matches the Rfam family "Bacterial small subunit ribosomal RNA", at positions 29 to 507 of the family's 1533-position model. The record is from RNAcentral.
AUGAACGCUGGCGGCGUGCCUAAUACAUGCAAGUCGAGCGAACGGACGAGAAGCUUGCUUCUCUGAUGUUAGCGGCGGACGGGUGAGUAACACGUGGAUAACCUACCUAUAAGACUGGGAUAACUUCGGGAAACCGGAGCUAAUACCGGAUAAUAUUUUGAACCGCAUGGUUCAAAAGUGAAAGACGGUCUUGCUGUCACUUAUAGAUGGAUCCGCGCUGCAUUAGCUAGUUGGUAAGGUAACGGCUUACCAAGGCAACGAUGCAUAGCCGACCUGAGAGGGUGAUCGGCCACACUGGAACUGAGACACGGUCCAGACUCUUACGGGAGGCAGCAGUAGGGAAUCUUCCGCAAUGGGCGAAAGCCUGACGGAGCAACGCCGCGUGAGUGAUGAAGGUCUUCGGAUCGUAAAACUCUGUUAUUAGGGAAGAACAUAUGUGUAAGUAACUGUGCACAUCUUGACGGUACCUAAUCAGAAAGCCACGGCUAACUACGUG